This 443-nucleotide ribosomal RNA is filed under the name uncultured bacterium. RNAcentral's name for it is "partial 16S ribosomal RNA". It matches the Rfam family "Bacterial small subunit ribosomal RNA", at positions 338 to 795 of the family's 1533-position model. The record is from RNAcentral.
CCUACGGGAGGCAGCAGUGGGGGAUCUUGGACAAUGGGGGAAACCCUGAUCCAGCGACGCCGCGUGAGUGAAGAAGUAUUUCGGUAUGUAAAGCUCUAUCAGCAGGGAAGAAAGAAAUGACGGUACCUGAGUAAGAAGCCCGGGCUAACUACGUGCCAGCAGCCGCGGUAAUUCGUAGGGGGCAAGCGUUAUCCGGAAUUACUGGGUGUAAGGGGAGCGUAGACGGUAAUGCAAGUCUGGAGUGAAAGGCGGGGGCCCAACCCCCGGACUGCUCGGGAAACUGUGUAACUGGAGUGCAGGAGAGGCAGGCGGAAUUCCUAGUGUAGCGGUGAAAUGCGUAGAUAUUAGGAGGAACACCAGUGGCGAAGGCGGCCUGCUGGACUGUAACUGACGUUGAGGCUCGAAAGCGUGGGGAGCAAACAGGAUUAGAUACCCGAGUAGUC